Molecule: long non-coding RNA, 207 nt
Filed under: Homo sapiens (human)
Lineage: Eukaryota; Metazoa; Chordata; Mammalia; Primates; Hominidae
Description: non-protein coding lnc-KLF4-11:3
Source: RNAcentral
AGCUGGUGUGUGUACAUAGGCACAUGCACACACACACACACACACACACACACACACAUGCACACACACACACCAGGGAGGAAGAGACAGUUGGGUCCAGCUCUUGUUCUUCCAGAAGUUGGCAUGGUAGGGAUGAAAAUGAACUCUGCUACUUUGUUUACAAUGAUCUGGGGUCAUAUGACUUUCCCCACAUACUAAAGCAGGUCU